Molecule: ribosomal RNA, 430 nt
Filed under: Pseudomonadota bacterium
Lineage: Bacteria; Pseudomonadati; Pseudomonadota
Description: Proteobacteria bacterium partial 16S ribosomal RNA
Rfam family: Bacterial small subunit ribosomal RNA
Source: RNAcentral
UGUGGAAUAUUGGACAAUGGGGGGAACCCUGAUCCAGCCAUGCCGCGUGUGUGAAGAAGGCCUUAUGGUUGUAAAGCACUUUAAGCGAGGAGGAGGGUACUGGUAUUAAUACUACCAGGUACUGGACGUUACUCGCAGAAUAAGCACCGGCUAACUCUGUGCCAGCAGCCGCGGUAAUACAGAGGGUGCGAGCGUUAAUCGGAUUUACUGGGCGUAAAGCGUGCGUAGGCGGCUAAUUGAGUCGGAUGUGAAAUCCCCGAGCUUAACUUGGGAAGUGCAUUCGAUACUGGUUAGCUAGAGUGUGGGAGAGGAUGGUAGAAUUCCAGGUGUAGCGGUGAAAUGCGUAGAGAUCUGGAGGAAUACCGAUGGCGAAGGCAGCCAUCUGGCCUAACACUGACGCUGAGGUACGAAAGCAUGGGGAGCAAACAGG